This 387-nucleotide transfer-messenger RNA is filed under the name Patescibacteria group. RNAcentral's name for it is "1-14-0-10-43-13 sp002773985 Standard tmRNA". It matches the Rfam family "transfer-messenger RNA". Rfam says of the family: Bacterial tmRNA, also known as 10Sa RNA or SsrA, is named for its dual tRNA and mRNA-like properties. The record is from RNAcentral. RNAcentral also lists the same sequence under 1 other name.
GGGGGUGUAUUAGCUUCGACAGAAGGUACUUUAAAAAUAUAUCGCAAGUAAGUAAGCUCGGUCGCUUCAAAGUGCCGGCAAAUUUCAAGUGCAAAUACACUUGUUAGCAAAGUGAAGAACGCUUUUGCGUCCCUCUCCUUUGCGCCAGCUUUAGCCUAAACGCUUUAGCCAUCUGUCCUUUGCUUUUCGACGAAGGGUUGCAGGUGUCAUAUUCGAAAUGCGGCAUACUUUAUUCGCUAGGAAGUAUGAAUAAGUAUUACUCACGAUAGAGCAAAAGUUUCUUGAUCUCGUUCCAAUCUUCGCUCGAACAAAUCGAAUGAGAACAAACUUGUAGAUGAUAUAUUUUUAACCUUUUGGACGCCGGUGCAACUCCGGCCACCUCCACCA